UACGUAGGGUGCAAGCGUUAAUCGGAAUUACUGGGCGUAAAGCGUGCGCAGGCGGUUUUGUAAGUCUGUCGUGAAAUCCCCGGGCUCAACCUGGGAAUGGCGAUGGAGACUGCAAGGCUGGAAUCUGGCAGAGGGGGGUAGAAUUCCACGUGUAGCAGUGAAAUGCGUAGAGAUGUGGAGGAACACCGAUGGCGAAGGCAGCCCCCUGGGCUAAGAUUGACGCUAAUGCACGAAAGCGUGGGGAGCAAACAGG
RNAcentral lists this ribosomal RNA (253 nucleotides) under uncultured bacterium. RNAcentral describes it as "partial 16S ribosomal RNA". It matches the Rfam family "Bacterial small subunit ribosomal RNA", at positions 524 to 776 of the family's 1533-position model. The record is from RNAcentral.